This 334-nucleotide long non-coding RNA is filed under the name Cricetulus griseus (Chinese hamster). RNAcentral describes it as "lncRNA (ENSCGRG00000026019.1)". The record is from RNAcentral. Lineage: Eukaryota; Metazoa; Chordata; Mammalia; Rodentia; Cricetidae.
GGUACUUGCUGGACAGACUGCUGCCACGCUGGCUGGCUAGGUCGCUCUGGCCUGAAGUUUAGUAUCCUGCCUGAGAUUUCAGUCAAGAGUGGAGCCAGCUGAUACGACCUUGUCAACUUGACACCAUGGCUGAGCAUGUGGACAAUGUAUCCCUUCACCUGGGAACAGGUGGAGCGCUGUGGUGCAGCAGAGAGCUCAGUGUUCCACAUGGCCUGUGCCAAGCCCCUAACAGUCUUGCUUGUGUCUUCUUUCAAGGUCCACAGAACAAGUAAGUCCAGGUCUGUGGUUCUUAACCAUGGGUCUGUUUGACCUAACAGACACAGGAGGGAUACAG